RNAcentral lists this ribosomal RNA (406 nucleotides) under uncultured bacterium. RNAcentral's name for it is "partial 16S ribosomal RNA". It matches the Rfam family "Bacterial small subunit ribosomal RNA", at positions 30 to 526 of the family's 1533-position model. The record is from RNAcentral.
AUUGAACGCUGGCGGCAGGCCUAACACAUGCAAGUCGAACGAGUGGCGGACGGGUGAGUAAUGUAUGGGAAUCUGCCUGAUGGAUGGGGAUAACUACUGGAAACGGUAGCUAAUACCGCAUACCAUCGGAUGUGCCCAGAUGGGAAUAGCUUGUUGGUGGGGUAACGGCUAACCAAGGCGACGAGCCCUAGCUGGUCUGAGAGGAGGACCAGCCACACUGGAACUGAGACACGGUCCAGACUCCUACGGUAGGCAGCAGUGGGGAAUAUUGCACAAUGGGCGCAAGCCUGAUGCAGCCAUGCCGGGUGUAUGAAGAAGGCCUUCGGGUUGUAAAGUACUUUAAGCGGGGAGGCGUUACCCGCAGAAGAAGCACCGGCUAACUCCGUGCCAGCAGCCGCGGUAAUAC